Molecule: ribosomal RNA, 442 nt
Filed under: uncultured bacterium
Lineage: Bacteria
Description: partial 16S ribosomal RNA
Rfam family: Bacterial small subunit ribosomal RNA
Source: RNAcentral
CUACGGGAUGCAGCAGUGGGGAAUAUUGCACAAUGGGGGAAACCCUGAUGCAGCAAUGCCGCGUGAAGGAUGAAGUAUUUCGGUAUGUAAACUUCUUUCAGUAGGGAAGAAACAAAUGACGGUACCUACAGAAGAAGCCCCGGCUAACUAUGUGCCAGCAGCCGCGGUAAUACAUAGGGGGCAAGCGUUAUCCGGAAUUACUGGGUGUAAAGGGUGCGUAGGCGGCAACUCAAGUCAGGUGUGAAAACCCGGGGCUCAACUCCGGGAAUGCACUUGAAACUGGGUAGCUAGAGUACAGGAGAGGUAAGCGGAAUUCCUAGUGUAGCGGUGAAAUGCGUAGAUAUUAGGAAGAACACCAGUGGCGAAGGCGGCUUACUGGACUGAAACUGACGCUGAGGCACGAAAGCGUGGGGAGCGAACAGGAUUAGAUACCCGAGUAGUC